This 254-nucleotide ribosomal RNA is filed under the name uncultured bacterium. RNAcentral describes it as "partial 16S ribosomal RNA". It matches the Rfam family "Bacterial small subunit ribosomal RNA", at positions 524 to 776 of the family's 1533-position model. The record is from RNAcentral.
UACGUAGGGGGCAAGCGUUGUCCGGAAUCAUUGGGCGUAAAGAGCGCGUAGGCGGCCCAGUAAGUCCGCUCUGAAAGUCAGGGGGCUCAACCCCUGAAUGCGGGUGGAUACUGCUGGGCUAGAGUCCGGAAGAGGCGAGUGGAAUUCCCGGUGUAGCGGUGAAAUGCGCAGAUAUCGGGAGGAACACCUAUGGCGAAGGCAGCUCGCUGGGACGUUACUGACGCUGAGACGCGAAAGCGUGGGGAGCAAACAGG